UACAGAGGUCUCAAGCGUUGUUCGGAAUCACUGGGCGUAAAGGGCGUGUAGGCGGUCAGGUAAGUGAGACGUGAAAUGCCCCGGCUUACCCGGGGACCUGCGUCUCAUACUGCUUGGCUUGAGUACGGGAGAGGGUGUGGGAAUUCCUGGUGUAGCGGUGAAAUGCGUAGAUAUCAGGAGGAACACCGGUGGCGAAGGCGCACACCUGGCCCGAUACUGACGCUGAGGCGCGAAAGCUAGGGGAGCAAACAGG
This 253-nucleotide ribosomal RNA is filed under the name uncultured bacterium. Its description in RNAcentral is "partial 16S ribosomal RNA". It matches the Rfam family "Bacterial small subunit ribosomal RNA", at positions 524 to 776 of the family's 1533-position model. The record is from RNAcentral.